RNAcentral lists this ribosomal RNA (253 nucleotides) under uncultured bacterium. RNAcentral's name for it is "partial 16S ribosomal RNA". It matches the Rfam family "Bacterial small subunit ribosomal RNA", at positions 524 to 776 of the family's 1533-position model. The record is from RNAcentral.
UACAGAGGGGGCAAGCGUUGUUCGGAAUUACUGGGCGUAAAGGGCGCGUAGGCGGCCAACUAAGUCAGACGUGAAAUCCCCUGGCUCAACCAGGGAACUGCGUCUGAUACUGGAUGGCUUGAAUCCGGGAGAGGGAUGUGGAAUUCCAGGUGUAGCGGUGAAAUGCGUAGAUAUCUGGAGGAACACCGGUGGCGAAGGCGGCUCCCUGGUCCGUUACUGACGCUGAGACGCGAAAGCGCGGGGAGCGAACGGG